Molecule: ribosomal RNA, 429 nt
Filed under: uncultured bacterium
Lineage: Bacteria
Description: bacterial SSU rRNA
Rfam family: Bacterial small subunit ribosomal RNA
Source: RNAcentral
UGAGGAAUCUUGCGCAAUGGGGGAACCCCUGCCGCAGCAACGCCGCGUGAGGGGGGAAGGUCUUCGGAUCGUAAAGCUCUGUCAGUGGGAAAGAAAUGUCUGAGAGUCAAUCCCUUUCAGGCUUGACGGUCCCAACAAAGGAAGCACCGCCUAACUCCGUGCCAGCAGCCGCGGUAAUACGGGGGGUGCAAGCGUUGUUCGGAAUUAUUGGGCGUAAAGAGCGUGUAGGCGGCCGGAUAUGUCAGAUGUGAAAGCCCCGGGCUUAACCCGGGAAGUGCAUUUGAAACUGUCCGGCUCGAGUAGGGGAGAGGGAAGUGGAAUUCCUGGUGUAGAGGUGAAAUUCGUAGAUAUCAGGAGGAACACCGGUGGCGAAGGCGACUUCCUGGCCCUAUACUGACGCUGAGACGCGAGAGCGUGGGUAGCAAACAG